AAUUCCCUGCAAUUUGAACGAGUCGUUACUAUAAAGAGCCAUCACCAAUCAAAAGGGAGCUUGACUCUGGGCGUGUAUUACAGGCCUCCAACGAGUGGACGUAAAAAACGAACAGGUGAGCACCCACCGUGUCCAACACGGUUCUUUAUAGACAAAGUUUAAUUUGCAGGGAUUUU
Molecule: non-coding RNA, 176 nt
Filed under: bacterium
Lineage: Bacteria
Description: 6S RNA
Rfam family: 6S / SsrS RNA
About the family: E. coli 6S RNA was the first non coding RNA to be sequenced, but its function was unknown until recently. It consists of 184 nucleotides that fold into an extended hairpin structure with a large single-stranded internal bulge.
Source: RNAcentral